GACAGAGGGUGCAACCGUUGCUCGGAAUCACUGGGCGUAAAGGGCGUGUAGGCGGGAAGGAAAGUCAGAUGUGAAAUCCCUGGGCUCAACCCAGGAACUGCAUUUGAAACUCCCUUUCUUGAGUGUCGGAGAGGAAAGCGGAAUUCCUGGUGUAGAGGUGAAAUUCGUAGAUAUCUGGAGGAACACCGGUGGCGAAGGCGGCAUCCUGGACCAUUACUGACACUGAAAAGCGAAAGCCAGGGGAGCAAACGGG
RNAcentral lists this ribosomal RNA (253 nucleotides) under uncultured bacterium. Its description in RNAcentral is "partial 16S ribosomal RNA". It matches the Rfam family "Bacterial small subunit ribosomal RNA", at positions 524 to 776 of the family's 1533-position model. The record is from RNAcentral.